UGCCAGCAGCCGCGGUAACACGGGGGGCGCAAGCGUUAUUCGGAAUUACUGGGCGUAAAGAGCUCGUAGGUGGUUUGUCGCGUUGUUCGUGAAAACUCACAGCUUAACUGUGGGCGUGCGGGCGAUACGGGCAGACUGGAGUACUGCAGGGGAGACUGGAAUUCCUGGUGUAGCGGUGGAAUGCGCAGAUAUCAGGAGGAACACCGGUGGCGAAGGCGGGUCUCUGGGCAGUAACUGACGCUGAGGAGCGAAAGCGUGGGGAGCGAACAGGAUUAGAUA
This 279-nucleotide ribosomal RNA is filed under the name uncultured bacterium. Its description in RNAcentral is "partial 16S ribosomal RNA". It matches the Rfam family "Bacterial small subunit ribosomal RNA", at positions 506 to 784 of the family's 1533-position model. The record is from RNAcentral.